AUGAAACUAACUAAGUUACCUACCCUAAAGUCUAGAAACAGUGGAAAAAGGGUAAAACUACUUACCCAUUGAAACGCAAGAUUGGUGGAAUGGUUCAGCAGCUCUUGACUCCAUGAAUGAUUUGGCGGUAUCAAUUUAGAAAUUUAACGGUUCAAUUUGCUGUAAUAUUAGAGAGAAGGUGGAGGAAACUUGGUUAGGGCAAAGUUCCUAUUCUAGAGAGAGAAGGGAAAUAUGCAGAAUGGGAAACUGGUUUUCUGAAAAGUAAAGCCCCUUCCCUCUAAGGCUGAAUCACCACAAGUUUAUGGGCCUGACUGCCCCUUUUCUAAGGCCCAAUAGCCCUUAGAAAUUAUAGGCCCUUACAUUCCCCCCAACAAAUAAAAUUUUCGGCCUCGAAAAUUGUACUUAUCCAAGAAUAUGCGAGGGUAAGAUUCUCUCAUCUCAUUCUCUAGCUCCCAGGUAGAGUCAUCUGUUUUACCCUCCCAGAUCACCUUGACUAAUCGGAUAGUUUUCACCCUAAACUAUUUAUUUUGACUCUCUUCAAUUCUAACAGGCUGCACCUAUUAUUUUCUUCUACAACCUUUCCAUGUUUUUGAACCCAAUUAAAUUCUAAUAACCAUUUUCCCUUUUCCAUUAAAUUUCUAAGUUUCUUCUAUCUUUAUAUAAAGGAAUACCAAAAGAAAUCACCUGAACAAUUUAACUAAAAACAUACCAUACUUCCUUGUAAGGUAUUUAUUACCUCAUGAUAAAAAUUACUUAAUAACAAUAUUAUAUUUUACAUUGCUACCUAUUAUAAUAAUACUUUACAAGCAUUAACUACAUAAUAAUAAAAAUAUUAUUAUUUGAUAACAUUAAUAUACAUUUUAAGAUACCCAACAANAUAUAUUGGACUUUGUCUUUGCAUAAAGAAUGGCUAAAUAAAAGUUACGUAAACCUAUUAAAACAAAAGACAAAACCAAUCUUUAUUCAUUCUAAAUUAACAAUACAACCUCUGAUUCAUUAUUUUCUCUCAAAGUUUUACACCAAUCAAAGAAUUUUAAAUAAUUUCAUAAUUNCUUUUCUUUUAGCUAACAUGGGACCCAUUCUCACUUACCAUUUUCUCUCACCCUUUUCUUAAAUUUUCACCUAAAGCAACUGUAACACAUGCAGUGGGGGUAGAAGAGUCUAAUGAAAAUACAACUCAACAGGGAAUAAGGAGGGGCACAAGAAACAGACUAACUAAUUCCAGGCUGGAUGACUUUUAUUGGUCUAGGACCUAAUCCAUAUAAUUCGUUAGUGAAUGGAAAAAAGGGUGUGAAUUCUAUUGUCCUAUGCUACAUCCUUUAUGUGCAAAUUCUCUGUUUUGGAUUUACUUGUAAUUGCUCUGACAUAUG
RNAcentral lists this long non-coding RNA (1370 nucleotides) under Vigna radiata. Its description in RNAcentral is "long non-coding RNA (VRAD_LNC006004)". Lineage: Eukaryota; Viridiplantae; Streptophyta; Magnoliopsida; Fabales; Fabaceae. The record is from RNAcentral.